AUGCAGAGGAACCUGGGAGCUGUGCUGGGGAUUCUGUGGGUGCCGAUAUGCUGGGUGAGAGGAGUUGAAGUGGAGCAGAGUCCUUCAGCCCUGAUUCUCCAAGAGGGAACAAGUUCUGUUCUGAGAUGCAAUUUUUCUACCGCCAUGACAACUGUGCAGUGGUUCCUACAGAAUCCCAGGGGCAGCCUCAUCAAUCUUUUUUACCUGGUUCCAGGAACAAAGGAGAAUGGAAGGUUAACAUCAACAUUCAGUUCUAAGGAGCGCUACAGCACCCUGCACAUCAGGGACACCCAGCCGGAGGACUCAGGCUCUUACUUCUGUGCUGCCGAGGCACAGUGCUCCCAGCAAGGCUGGAGCCUGGCCCCAAACUGCAGCUGA
Mus pahari (shrew mouse) is the source of this 378-nucleotide non-coding RNA. The record is from the annotation of a RefSeq genome assembly. NCBI's taxonomy places the organism in Eukaryota, Metazoa, Chordata, Mammalia, Rodentia, Muridae.